This 492-nucleotide ribosomal RNA is filed under the name uncultured bacterium. RNAcentral describes it as "partial 16S ribosomal RNA". It matches the Rfam family "Bacterial small subunit ribosomal RNA", at positions 29 to 507 of the family's 1533-position model. The record is from RNAcentral.
AGUGAACGCUGGCGGUAGGCCUAACACAUGCAAGUCGAACGGCAGCACAGUAAGAGCUUGCUCUUACGGGUGGCGAGUGGCGGACGGGUGAGGAAUACAUCGGAAUCUACUUUUUCGUGGGGGAUAACGUAGGGAAACUUACGCUAAUACCGCAUACGACCUACGGGUGAAAGCAGGGGAUCUUCGGACCUUGCGCGAUUGAAUGAGCCGAUGUCGGAUUAGCUAGUUGGCGGGGUAAAGGCCCACCAAGGCGACGAUCCGUAGCUGGUCUGAGAGGAUGAUAGGCCACACUGGAACUGAGACACGGUCCAGACUCCUACGGGAGGCAGCAGUGGGGAAUAUUGGACAAUGGGCGCAAGCCUGAUCCAGCCAUACCGCGUGGGUGAAGAAGGCCUUCGGGUUGUAAAGACCUUUUGUUGGGAAAGAAAAGCAGCAGGUUAAUACCCCGCUGUUCUGACGGUACCCAAAGAAUAAGCACCGGCUAACUUCGUG